CCAUACAUAAUAUUUUAGCAUAAGUCAUUACUUCAGAGGAUUGCAGGCCAUAAGUGAAUCCUCAAACAGGAGAGCUCAAGCUUCUCCUGCCCAAGAUGAUUGGCUUAAUUCUGAUGGUCUCUGUGCCUGACAAAUAGAGGCGAGAGACCUCUGUCUGGCUUCUUCUGUCUGUUCCCUCUACCUGAAGAUGAAGAACCAACUCCCAUUUUCACACCUGAUCCUCCUUCUUGAAACUUCACUCUGUUUGUACCCUGUCUCUUUGAAGUUUUCCCUGUCUCCUUGUUUGACUGGGACAGUUUGCUCUCCUGCCUUGGAGCAAGUUCCUAGGUUAACCUCACUCUAGCCUAGUCUGAGAAUGGUCAGACUAGGCUAUGGUCAUGAGUCUCUUGGGUAUCUAGAAAAUGAACAUGGAACCAAAGGAGAUUGGUUUAUCUAUUUAAAGCAGACAGCGGAGAUGCUGGAAAUAUGUUCAAGAAAAUUCAGUGCAGGGUUGGGGUUGUAGCUCAGUGGUAGAGUGCUCGCCUUACAUAUGUGAAGCCCUGGGUUCAGUCCUCAGUACCACAUAAAAAUAAAUAAAUUAAAUAAAGGCAUUAUGUCCAUUUAUAACUAAAAAAUAUUUAAAAAAUUCAGUGCAGGCCUGACUUAUGAGGUAGGGUGUGUUAGCAGUGCUGAGGGCUAGACCUUCUACACCAGUAGCUUUCCCUUACUCUUUCUUUUUCUGUUCUCCUGUUGUCCAAGGUGGCUUUUC
Molecule: long non-coding RNA, 748 nt
Filed under: Marmota monax (woodchuck)
Lineage: Eukaryota; Metazoa; Chordata; Mammalia; Rodentia; Sciuridae
Source: RNAcentral